CCUACGGGCUGCAGCAGUGGGGAAUAUUGGGCAAUGGGCGCAAGCCUGACCCAGCAACGCCGCGUGAAGGAAGAAGGCUUUCGGGUUGUAAACUUCUUUUCUCAGGGACGAAGAAAGUGACGGUACCUGAGGAAUAAGCCACGGCUAACUACGUGCCAGCGGCCGCGGUAAUACGGAGGUGGCAAGCGUUAUCCGGAUUUACUGGGUGUAAAGGGCGUGUAGGCGGGAAAGCAAGUCAGAUGUGAAAACCAUGGGCUCAACCUGUGGCCUGCAUUUGAAACUGGUUUUCUUGAGUACUGGAGAGGCAGACGGAAUUCCUAGUGUAGCGGUGAAAUGCGUAGAUAUUAGGAGGAACACCAGUGGCGAAGGCGGUCUGCUGGACAGCAACUGACGCUGAGGCGCGAAAGCGUGGGGAGCAAACAGGAUUAGAUACCCCUGUAGUC
This 443-nucleotide ribosomal RNA is filed under the name uncultured bacterium. RNAcentral's name for it is "partial 16S ribosomal RNA". It matches the Rfam family "Bacterial small subunit ribosomal RNA", at positions 338 to 795 of the family's 1533-position model. The record is from RNAcentral.